This 589-nucleotide ribosomal RNA is filed under the name Bradyrhizobium sp. RNAcentral describes it as "bacterial SSU rRNA". It matches the Rfam family "Bacterial small subunit ribosomal RNA", at positions 93 to 717 of the family's 1533-position model. Lineage: Bacteria; Pseudomonadati; Pseudomonadota; Alphaproteobacteria; Hyphomicrobiales; Nitrobacteraceae. The record is from RNAcentral.
CAGCGGCGGACGGGUGAGUAACGCGUGGGAACGUACCUUUUGGUUCGGAACAACACAGGGAAACUUGUGCUAAUACCGGAUAAGCCCUUACGGGGAAAGAUUUAUCGCCGAAAGAUCGGCCCGCGUCUGAUUAGCUAGUUGGUGAGGUAAUGGCUCACCAAGGCGACGAUCAGUAGCUGGUCUGAGAGGAUGAUCAGCCACAUUGGGACUGAGACACGGCCCAAACUCCUACGGGAGGCAGCAGUGGGGAAUAUUGGACAAUGGGCGCAAGCCUGAUCCAGCCAUGCCGCGUGAGUGAUGAAGGCCCUAGGGUUGUAAAGCUCUUUUGUGCGGGAAGAUAAUGACGGUACCGCAAGAAUAAGCCCCGGCUAACUUCGUGCCAGCAGCCGCGGUAAUACGAAGGGGGCUAGCGUUGCUCGGAAUCACUGGGCGUAAAGGGUGCGUAGGCGGGUCUUUAAGUCAGGGGUGAAAUCCUGGAGCUCAACUCCAGAACUGCCUUUGAUACUGAAGAUCUUGAGUUCGGGAGAGGUGAGUGGAACUGCGAGUGUAGAGGUGAAAUUCGUAGAUAUUCGCAAGAACACCAGUGGCG